This 489-nucleotide ribosomal RNA is filed under the name uncultured bacterium. Its description in RNAcentral is "bacterial SSU rRNA". It matches the Rfam family "Bacterial small subunit ribosomal RNA", at positions 28 to 497 of the family's 1533-position model. The record is from RNAcentral.
GACGAACGCUGGCGGCGUGCCUAAUACAUGCAAGUCGAACGCACUCUCGUUUAGAUUGAAGGAGCUUGCUCCUGAUUGAUAAACAAUUGAGUGAGUGGCGGACGGGUGAGUAACACGUGGGUAACCUGCCCUAAAGUGGGGGAUAACAUUUGGAAACAGAUGCUAAUACCGCAUAAAACCUAACACCGCAUGGUGUAGGGUUGAAAGAUGGUUUCGGCUAUCACUUUAGGAUGGACCCGCGGUGCAUUAGUUAGUUGGUGAGGUAAAGGCUCACCAAGACCGUGAUGCAUAGCCGACCUGAGAGGGUAAUCGGCCACACUGGGACUGAGACACGGCCCAGACUCCUACGGGAGGCAGCAGUAGGGAAUCUUCCACAAUGGACGAAAGUCUGAUGGAGCAACGCCGCGUGAGUGAAGAAGGUUUUCGGAUCGCAAAACUCUGUUGUUGGAGAAGAAUGUAUCUGAUAGUAACUGAUCAGGUAGUGACGGU